AGCAGCCGCGGUAAUUCCAGCUCCAAUAGCGUAUAUUAAAGUUGUUGCAGUUAAAAAGCUCGUAGUUGAAUUUCGGGAUUGGCGCAUCGGUCGUGCCUCACGGGGUAUGAACUGGUGCAGUCAAUUUCUCACCUUCUGGAGAACCGCGAUGUCCUUAAUUGGAUGCCGCGGGGAACCAGGACCUUUACUUUGAAAAAUUAGAGUGUUUAAAGCAGGCAUUUUUGCUUGAAUACAUUAGCAUGGAAUAAUAAAUAGGACGGCAUGGUUCUAUUUUGUUGGUUUCUAGGACCACCGUAAUGAUUAAUAGGGAUAGUUGGGGGCAUUAGUAUUCAAUUGUCAGAGGUGAAAUUCUUGGAUUUAUUGAAGACUAACUACUGCGAAAGCAUUUGCCAAGGAUGUUUUCAUUAAUCAAGAACGAAAGUUAGGGGAUCGAAGACGAUCAGAUACCGUCGUAGUCUUAACCAUAAACUAUGCCGACUAGGAAUCAGACGAUGUAAUUUUUUAAUGACUCGUUUGGCAC
RNAcentral lists this ribosomal RNA (520 nucleotides) under uncultured Glomeromycotina. Its description in RNAcentral is "SSU rRNA". It matches the Rfam family "Eukaryotic small subunit ribosomal RNA", at positions 569 to 1086 of the family's 1831-position model. The record is from RNAcentral. Lineage: Eukaryota; Fungi; Glomeromycota.